Molecule: long non-coding RNA, 423 nt
Organism: Gavialis gangeticus (Gharial)
Lineage: Eukaryota; Metazoa; Chordata; Crocodylia; Gavialidae
Exons: 3
Source: RefSeq, a predicted model, not a curated record
CUGUGGAUGCACUUUAAAAAUUCUAACUGGUUUAUGCACAUUUUAGUAUUACACCAACAUCAGCUAUUGUCCCCAGGAGAACUCAUGUUUGGCUCCAGAAGUGAGAUGCCUUCUAUUCCAUUAUCUAUCUCCUGAUGCAGUCAGUCCACCAUGGAAUGGCCUAGAAGAUCUGCUGUGCCAGAGACCUCAUGACUCACAGGGCUCCAAAAUGCCUGAGCUUAGCAGCAUGCCUACUGAACUGAGACAAAUGAGAAGAGCAGUAAUUUGGGAAGGACAAAUUAUUAAUGGAUUAGGAUCUCCUCUUCCAUGGCUCAUGCAGAUCCACUAUUCAGGCAGCUUUGAUCCAAGCAGCAGUGAGGAUCUGACCCAUUUCUAAGGAAUCAGCAGCUCUGUCCCUUCUCUAAGAAGAACAACUGGAAGGGA